AUUGAACGCUGGCGGCAUGCCUUACACAUGCAAGUCGAACGGUAACGGGCCUUCGGGUGCCGACGAGUGGCGAACGGGUGAGUAAUACAUCGGAACGUGCCCGAUCGUGGGGGAUAACGAGGCGAAAGCUUUGCUAAUACCGCAUACGAUCUACGGAUGAAAGCAGGGGACCGCAAGGCCUUGCGCGGACGGAGCGGCCGAUGGCAGAUUAGGUAGUUGGUGGGAUAAAAGCUUACCAAGCCGACGAUCUGUAGCUGGUCUGCGAGGAUGAUCAGCCACACUGGGACUGAGACACGGCCCAGACUCCUACGGGAGGCAGCAGUGGGGAAUUUUGGACAAUGGGCGCAAGCCUGAUCCAGCCAUGCCGCGUGCAGGAUGAAGGCCUUCGGGUUGUAAACUGCUUUUGUACGGAACGAAAAGCCUUCUUUUAAUACAGGAGGGUCAUGACGGUACCGUAAGAAUAGGCACCGGCUAACUACGUG
This 482-nucleotide ribosomal RNA is filed under the name uncultured bacterium. Its description in RNAcentral is "partial 16S ribosomal RNA". It matches the Rfam family "Bacterial small subunit ribosomal RNA", at positions 30 to 507 of the family's 1533-position model. The record is from RNAcentral.